This 500-nucleotide ribosomal RNA is filed under the name uncultured cyanobacterium. Its description in RNAcentral is "bacterial SSU rRNA". It matches the Rfam family "Bacterial small subunit ribosomal RNA", at positions 356 to 858 of the family's 1533-position model. The record is from RNAcentral. Lineage: Bacteria; Bacillati; Cyanobacteriota.
GGGGAAUUUUCCGCAAUGGGCGAAAGCCUGACGGAGCAAGACCGCGUGGGGGAAGAAGGCUCUUGGGUUGUAAACCCCUUUUCUCUGGGAAGAAAGUUGUGAAAGCAACCUGACGGUACCAGAGGAAUCAGCAUCGGCUAACUCCGUGCCAGCAGCCGCGGUAAGACGGAGGAUGCAAGCGUUAUCCGGAAUGAUUGGGCGUAAAGCGUCCGCAGGUGGCAGUUCAAGUCUGCUGUCAAAGACCGGGGCUCAACCUCGGAAAGGCAGUGGAAACUGAACAGCUAGAGUAUGGUAGGGGCAAAGGGAAUUCCUGGUGUAGCGGUGAAAUGCGUAGAGAUCAGGAAGAACAUCGGUGGCGAAGGCGCUUUGCUGGACCAUAACUGACACUCAGGGACGAAAGCUAGGGGAGCGAAUGGGAUUAGAUACCCCAGUAGUCCUAGCCGUAAACGAUGGAUACUAGGUGUUGUCUGUAUCGACCCGGACAGUGCCGUAGCUAACGC